GAGCCGAGUAAAUGAACUGCUAAUUCUAAGACCC
Molecule: transfer RNA, 34 nt
Filed under: Uroplatus phantasticus
Lineage: Eukaryota; Metazoa; Chordata; Lepidosauria; Squamata; Gekkonidae
Description: partial tRNA-Ser
Source: RNAcentral